UACGUAGGGUGCGAGCGUUGUCCGGAAUUACUGGGCGUAAAGAGCUCGUAGGUGGUUUGUCACGUCGUCUGUGAAAUUCCGGGGCUUAACCUCGGGCGUGCAGGCGAUACGGGCAAUACUUGAGUGCUGUAGGGGAGACUGGAACUCCUGGUGUAGCGGUGAAAUGCGCAGAUAUCAGGAGGAACACCAAUGGCGAAGGCAGGUCUCUGGGCAGUUACUGACGCUGAGGAGCGAAAGCAUGGGUAGCGAACAGGAUUAGA
RNAcentral lists this ribosomal RNA (260 nucleotides) under uncultured prokaryote. Its description in RNAcentral is "partial 16S ribosomal RNA". It matches the Rfam family "Bacterial small subunit ribosomal RNA", at positions 524 to 782 of the family's 1533-position model. The record is from RNAcentral.